UACGUAGGGGGCUAGCGUUGUCCGGAUUUAUUGGGCGUAAAGAGCGCGCAGGCGGUCGUUCAAGUCGCGUGUGAAAGCCCCCGGCUCAACUGGGGAGGGUCACGCGAUACUGAUCGACUCGAAGGCAGGAGAGGGUAGUGGAAUUCCCGGUGUAGUGGUGAAAUGCGUAGAUAUCGGGAGGAACACCAGUGGCGAAGGCGACUACCUGGCCUGUUCUUGACGCUGAGGCGCGAAAGCUAGGGGAGCAAACGGG
Molecule: ribosomal RNA, 253 nt
Filed under: uncultured bacterium
Lineage: Bacteria
Description: partial 16S ribosomal RNA
Rfam family: Bacterial small subunit ribosomal RNA
Source: RNAcentral